UACGGGGGGAGCAAGCGUUGUUCGGAUUUACUGGGCGUUAAAGGGCGCGUAGGCGGUCGUGACAAGUCACUUGUGAAAUCUCCGGGCUUAACUCGGAACGGUCAAGUGAUACUGUCGGACUAGAGUACAGAAGGGGCAACUGGAAUUCUCGGUGUAGCGGUGAAAAUGCGUAGAUAUCGAGAGGAACACCUGCGGCGAAGGCGGGUUGCUGGGCUGAUACUGACGCUGAGGCGCGAAAGCCAGGGGAGCGAACGGG
RNAcentral lists this ribosomal RNA (256 nucleotides) under uncultured bacterium. RNAcentral's name for it is "partial 16S ribosomal RNA". It matches the Rfam family "Bacterial small subunit ribosomal RNA", at positions 524 to 776 of the family's 1533-position model. The record is from RNAcentral.